RNAcentral lists this ribosomal RNA (520 nucleotides) under uncultured Glomus. RNAcentral describes it as "SSU rRNA". It matches the Rfam family "Eukaryotic small subunit ribosomal RNA", at positions 569 to 1090 of the family's 1831-position model. The record is from RNAcentral. Lineage: Eukaryota; Fungi; Glomeromycota; Glomeromycetes; Glomerales; Glomeraceae.
AGCAGCCGCGGUAAUUCCAGCUCCAAUAGCGUAUAUUAAAGUUGUUGCAGUUAAAAAGCUCGUAGUUGAAUUUCGGGAUCAAUACGUCGGUCGUGCUUUCGGGUACGUACUGGCGUCAUUGGUUUCUCCUUUCUGACGAACCAUGAUGUCAUUAAUUUGGUGUUAUGGGGAGUUAGGACUGUUACUUUGAAAAAUUAGAGUGUUUAAAGCAGGCAUUAGCUUGAAUACAUUAGCAUGGAAUAAUGAAAUAGGACGUUCGAUCCUAUUUUGUUGGUUUCUAGGAUCAACGUAAUGAUUAAUAGGGAUAGUUGGGGGCAUUAGUAUUCAAUUGUCAGAGGUGAAAUUCUUGGAUUUAUUGAAGACUAACUACUGCGAAAGCAUUUGCCAAGGAUGUUUUCAUUAAUCAAGAACGAAAGUUAGGGGAUCGAAGACGAUCAGAUACCGUCGUAGUCUUAACCAUAAACUAUGCCGACUAGGGAUCGGAUGAUGUUAAUUUUUAAUGACUCAUUCGGUCGCCUUA